UGGGGAUGACGUCAAAUCAUCAUGCCCCUUAUGACCUGGGCUACACACGUGCUACAAUGGGCGGUACAAAGGGCUGCGAACCCGCGAGGGGGAGCGAAUCCCAAAAAGCCGCUCUCAGUUCGGAUUGCAGGCUGCAACUCGCCUGCAUGAAGCCGGAAUCGCUAGUAAUCGCGGAUCAGCAUGCCCGCGGUCCGAAUACGUUCCGGCCUU
This 210-nucleotide ribosomal RNA is filed under the name uncultured Geobacillus sp. RNAcentral's name for it is "partial 16S ribosomal RNA". It matches the Rfam family "Bacterial small subunit ribosomal RNA", at positions 1174 to 1374 of the family's 1533-position model. The record is from RNAcentral. Lineage: Bacteria; Bacillati; Bacillota; Bacilli; Caryophanales; Anoxybacillaceae.